Molecule: ribosomal RNA, 422 nt
Filed under: uncultured prokaryote
Description: bacterial SSU rRNA
Rfam family: Bacterial small subunit ribosomal RNA
Source: RNAcentral
UGAGGAAUAUUGGUCAAUGGGCGCAAGCCUGAACCAGCCAUCCCGCGUGCAGGAAGACGGCCCUAUGGGUUGUAAACUGCUUUUCCAGGGGGAGAAUUUUUCUGUCGUGACAGGAAUUGACGGUACCCUGGGAAUAAGCAUCGGCUAACUCCGUGCCAGCAGCCGCGGUAAUACGGAGGAUGCGCGCGUUAUCCGGAUUUAUUGGGUUUAAAGGGUGCGUAGGCGGAUAGAUAAGUCAGUGGUGAAAACCUGCAGCUUAACUGUAGACUUGCCGUUGAUACUGUCAGUCUUGAGUAUGGUCAAGGUAGGCGGAAUGUGGAAUGUAGCGGUGAAAUGCUUAGAUAUUACACAGAACACCGAUUGCGAAGGCAGCUUACUGGGCCAGUACUGACGCUGAUGCACGAAAGCGUGGGGAGCGAACA